Clupea harengus (Atlantic herring) is the source of this 1301-nucleotide long non-coding RNA. The record is from Ensembl. Lineage: Eukaryota; Metazoa; Chordata; Actinopteri; Clupeiformes; Clupeidae.
GUGAGUAGAUUACUGCUGUUCAAACACUGGAAAAUAUGUGCUGUCGAAUAAUUUCACCGUACAGUUGUAAUUUUGGAAAAUCUUUUUUAUGGGAUUUUACAUUUGCAUGCUUUCCAAUAAGAAUGCAACCAACUCCUUUUCAACUCCUCUCCGACUGACACCAUUCAUGUCGACCAGGUAAGGCAAGGCCACAGUUGAAAUCAUACACACAUUUGUUUUCUGAGAGAUGAAUGUGGUAUUUUUGUCCAAAAUCUGCCUGGUUUGUACAUCCUGAACAGUUGUCAUAAUCACCACAAUUCCUGCUGUGGUGCUUUAAAGUGUAAGUGCACCCUAAAGAUGUUUUACUCUAAACUAAAUGAUAUGACCUAUUCAGUUUAAAUGAGAGAUUCAUGUAUCCACUGCAACCUUCACCGUGUGGAAUGGAUGUGUUGGCUGAAACUGGAAAUGAAAGGUGUAGGAGUGAGCCCGCUGCACGGACAGUGAGGAUGUGAGAGAACUAGCGUGUCGGACCAGUAUGUUCAUCAGCAGCACAUAGUAGGAUACAACGCACAAUAAAGAACCAUGGGUGCCAGGUUCUGGUUUAUUUUGGUUAUUGCCAAUGAAGUGGCUGCCUUCACACGUCCACACCAACCUCCACCAUGUGAAGUGGGUAAGUGAUUACUGAGUGACGAUUUUAGAUUUUUGUAACAAAAAACUGAAUAGACUGUUUUUUUAUGUUUUAAAUCUCAUCCACAGUUCUCACAUUAUAUUGUAAUAAGAUGCUUGCGUGUUUUUGAAAAAAUAACAACAGUUUGCAGAGCUUUGCCUUUGAGUGGUAAGAGAGUGGGCUUAGACUCUAUCCCCCGUAUUUGGAAGAACACUUUGAGCCACUGCGCCCAAAUGGAGUUGAUCAAAUGCUAAUGCCUUGGGCUGUGCCCCAAUUGGAAUGCCCUUACCGCCCGUGCGGAGCGUAUGCAUUUGAACAACAAAGUAUUAUAGACUGUACAAUACAUUUGGACUCUAUGCUAGCUGAGUCUGCUCUUCUCUAAAAUGCUAGCCAAAUAAAACAUAAAUGAUGUUCUAUGUGUAUUUUGUACCAAGCAGGAAAUCAUUUUGGUUGUAGCAAUUCAUUCAUGCCAGCAUAAAUAGAUACUGCUUUAAUGCUUAGUCAAGCUCUGCAAUUUUUUGCAAUUUCUCUGUAAUUACCUACAUUAAUCCACUCUGUGGUUUUUAAUUUAAAUCAUACACUAAGGAAGUAGCUCUUUGUUUUGAACAAAUAUUACAUUCACUUUUUUGUAACUAUUUUGAUUUCCUCAAGUCAU